CUAGGGCGUUGGUCUAAUUUGGGCGCCCCGCUGUUAACGGGGAGGUGGGAGUGUCUCACGUCU
This 63-nucleotide transfer RNA is filed under the name Argopecten ventricosus. Its description in RNAcentral is "tRNA-Asn". The record is from RNAcentral. Lineage: Eukaryota; Metazoa; Mollusca; Bivalvia; Pectinida; Pectinidae.